UACGUAGGUGGCAAGCGUUGUCCGGAAUUAUUGGGCGUAAAGGGUGCGUAGGCGGUCUAUUAAGUCUUAUUUGAAAGGUCAUGGCUUAACCAUGGAUGGUGAUAGGAAACUGAUAGACUUGAGUACAGGAGAGGAAGGUGGAAUUCCACGUGUAGCGGUGAAAUGCGUAGAUAUGUGGAGGAACACCAGUGGCGAAGGCGGCCUUCUGGCCUGUGUCUGACGCUGAGGCACGAAAGCGUGGGUAGCAAACAGG
RNAcentral lists this ribosomal RNA (253 nucleotides) under uncultured bacterium. RNAcentral describes it as "partial 16S ribosomal RNA". It matches the Rfam family "Bacterial small subunit ribosomal RNA", at positions 524 to 776 of the family's 1533-position model. The record is from RNAcentral.